UUGUUUCUUCUUUCUUGUCUAAAAGCUCUCAACUCCUCAUCAAUAUCUGAACCAUCUUCUGAAGGUAUAUCUAGAUCUGAAUCACUACUCAAGAAAUCAGAUUCACCUUCUCCACCUAGGUUAUCAUCCACACCCUCUCUACCUAGGUUAUCAUCCACACCCUAUUCACCAAUGUUAACACCAACACCCUCACCACCAAGGUUAACAGCCUCACCUUCUCCACUUAGGUCAACAUCCUCACCUUCUCCACCUAAGUUAACAGCCUCACCCUCUUCACCAAGGUCAACAUCAACACCUUCACCACCAACAUUAGUUAGAUAGCCUCUAGGUCCCUCAGUGUCAAGUAAGCGUUCAUCUAAUACAUGACAGACAAAUACUUCAAAAGUGUCCUCAUGUUUUAAGUCUUUAAUUAGGUGUAGGAGAUGUUGGUCAGUUGUAAUUAGGACCCAUUUUUUAUUCAAUAAAUCCUUCACAUAAAAGCCUCCAACAGUUUCAUACCCUAAUUCUUUAGUAUAAUACAGUAGUUCCAAAAUGGAAAAGUGGUCCUUAAUAAUAUACCUGAGUGCAG
Molecule: long non-coding RNA, 568 nt
Filed under: Solanum tuberosum (potato)
Lineage: Eukaryota; Viridiplantae; Streptophyta; Magnoliopsida; Solanales; Solanaceae
Description: long non-coding RNA (STUB_LNC007563)
Source: RNAcentral